This 23-nucleotide non-coding RNA is filed under the name Arabidopsis thaliana (thale cress). The record is from RNAcentral. Lineage: Eukaryota; Viridiplantae; Streptophyta; Magnoliopsida; Brassicales; Brassicaceae.
GUAUCCAUGGGCCAUGACCUCCG